This 214-nucleotide long non-coding RNA is filed under the name Elaeis guineensis (African oil palm). RNAcentral's name for it is "long non-coding RNA (EGUI_LNC040442)". The record is from RNAcentral. Lineage: Eukaryota; Viridiplantae; Streptophyta; Magnoliopsida; Arecales; Arecaceae.
UCUUUGGGCAUGAGUUCCAGGGUGGGGUUCAAGGGUUUUGGCUCUAGAUUUUUAUGAGAAGAAAAGUCAAGAGGGUCUUGUUCCAUACUUUCUACACCACCACCUCCUCCUAUUGUUCUAUCUUCUAAUCCGAAAGAGUCCGGAUGAUCCAAAGGAAGGAGUACAAAUCAGCCAUCUAGUACCUUUCGUGCGAGCUAGCACUCCCGGAGAAGGA